This 497-nucleotide ribosomal RNA is filed under the name uncultured bacterium. Its description in RNAcentral is "partial 16S ribosomal RNA". It matches the Rfam family "Bacterial small subunit ribosomal RNA", at positions 28 to 507 of the family's 1533-position model. The record is from RNAcentral.
GACGAACGCUGGCGGCGUGCCUAAUACAUGCAGGUAGAACGCUGAAGAGAGGAGCUUGCUCUUCUUGGAUGAGUUGCGAACGGGUGAGUAACGCGUAGGUAACCUGCCUUGUAGCGGGGGAUAACUAUUGGAAACGAUAGCUAAUACCGCAUAACAAUGGAUGACACAUGUCAUUUAUUUGAAAGGGGCAAUUGUUCCACUACAAGAUGGACCUGCGUUGUAUUAGCUAGUAGGUGAGGUAAUGGCUCACCUAGGCGACGAUACAUAGCCGACCUGAGAGGGUGAUCGGCCACACUGGGACUGAGACACGGCCCAGACUCCUACGGGAGGCAGCAGUAGGGAAUCUUCGGCAAUGGGGGCAACCCUGACCGAGCAACGCCGCGUGAGUGAAGAAGGUUUUCGGAUCGUAAAGCUCUGUUGUAAGUCAAGAACGGGUGUGAGAGUGGAAAGUUCACACUGUGACGGUAGCUUACCAGAAAGGGACGGCUAACUACGUG